Diospyros lotus (date-plum) is the source of this 1323-nucleotide long non-coding RNA. RefSeq lists it as uncharacterized. The transcript is spliced from 2 exons. The record is from RefSeq and is a predicted model, not a curated record. Lineage: Eukaryota; Viridiplantae; Streptophyta; Magnoliopsida; Ericales; Ebenaceae.
CCUUGUAUCUGCCUGGUUUCCUAUAGCUACGUACUCUUGACUACUUAGGCCAUCUCCAACGUGUGGGACACGUGGGGCAAUCGCUUGCCAACCAAAAUUUGAAGAGGCAAUUGCAGAAAAUUAUUUCCAACAGGUCUCCAUAUCUGUCUUAUCCCUCCCCAAAUUUUUGUUGAGUUUCAAAUAACACGUUAGAGUUGAGAGCAAAAAAUUGCUCCAUAUUCUUCUUGUCCCAACGGUUCUCUCUCUCAAAUCUGAAAUUGGAAGAAGACGCCAGUGAUGAGCAACAGUAACGGCUACCAACGACGAAAAUGAGGAAUAGUAGUAGUGAUAACUGAGAAGAACGAGCAUUGUAGGCAAAAGCAGCGACUUGCAGACAUCAGAUCCGUGAAAGUGGUUGCGGCAACAAGUAGCAACGAUGGCGGCGCGGCAACAGCGACUCCCUACUCCAGCAGCAGUGAGGAGCUUCUUGAGGAUACUAUAAUUAAAUAGAUGUCAGAAGUCAAAGUGGAACAACAAACAAAAUAAGGUAACCUCCAUCGUUAUUUGAUGCUUGUUAAUUAUUAAUAUCAUAUUGCUAGUCAUUGUUUUAUUGACAUUAUUAUUUAGCUGUCUAGAUUUCUCAAGUAGUAGAGAUGUACAAAAUCCUGCAAAAGUUUUUCACAUUUCUACAUUGUUUGCAUGAGUUGUGACAUGCACCUAAAUUCCCCUCAAGUUCUUUGAAGAAAAAAUCCAAAAUUUUUGAACAUGCAACAUCAUCACUAUCUACUCUCAAUUCGAUGAACCUGUCUGAUUUUGAUGUCUGAAUCAACGAGCUUUCAUUAGAACAAUUAAUGGGAAGAAAUGCUUCAAAAGAAUGUGGACAAAAAAAAAACAAAAAACUAAGGUAAUAGAAGUUUGUACUAAGUCAAUAAAAACUAUGUUGACAGAAAUUACUAAAAUGAGAACUCAAUCCAAAAUGUUAUUACUUGAACAAUCGAAUGAGAUGUUAAAGCUGGAAAGAAAUGAUUGAACUAGAAAGAUUAAAGGAAGAGCGAGAAAGAAAAAAAGAAUAACGAGAACAACUACUUUAUGAAGAAAGAAUUAUGGGCGUUGAUAUUAGUAAUAUAGAUGGACUUCAAGCUGAACAUUACAAUGGACUCAAACUCAAAAUUAUUCAGAAAAGGCGAAGUGCAAGAUUAUCAGAUUUGUAAAAAUGUAGUUGGAAUUAAUGUAUAGAUCUUUUCCUUUUAGUAAUGUAUGGAGUUGGGAUUAAGUGAACUUCAUGAACAUUAAUUUAAUAAUGUACAUUUUCCUUUUAGUAAUAUAUUAUUGUUGUGUUUAGUA